RNAcentral lists this transfer RNA (62 nucleotides) under Cardiocephaloides medioconiger. Its description in RNAcentral is "tRNA-Ala". Lineage: Eukaryota; Metazoa; Platyhelminthes; Trematoda; Diplostomida; Strigeidae. The record is from RNAcentral.
GACGAUAUAGUUUAUUUAAAAUGUGUACUCUGCGAGUAUAAGAUAGAGUUUUCUUGUCGUUG